GUGGGGAAUUUUGGACAAUGGGCGCAAGCCUGAUCCAGCAAUGCCGCGUGCAGGAAGAAGGCCUUCGGGUUGUAAACUGCUUUUGUACGGAACGAAACGGCUCUGGUUAAUACCCGGGGCUAAUGACGGUACCGUAAGAAUAAGCACCGGCUAACUACGUGCCAGCAGCCGCGGUAAUACGUAGGGUGCAAGCGUUAAUCGGAAUUACUGGGCGUAAAGCGUGCGCAGGCGGUUUUGUAAGACAGGCGUGAAAUCCCCGGGCUCAACCUGGGAAUGGCGCUUGUGACUGCAAAGCUGGAGUGCGGCAGAGGGGGAUGGAAUUCCGCGUGUAGCAGUGAAAUGCGUAGAUAUGCGGAGGAACACCGAUGGCGAAGGCAGUCCCCUGGGCCUGUACUGACGCUCAUGCACGAAAGCGUGGGGAGCAAACAGGAUUAGAUACCCUUGUAGUCC
This 450-nucleotide ribosomal RNA is filed under the name uncultured bacterium. RNAcentral describes it as "partial 16S ribosomal RNA". It matches the Rfam family "Bacterial small subunit ribosomal RNA", at positions 354 to 796 of the family's 1533-position model. The record is from RNAcentral.